This is a long non-coding RNA of Odontomachus brunneus, 625 nucleotides long. RefSeq lists it as uncharacterized. The record is from RefSeq and is a predicted model, not a curated record. Lineage: Eukaryota; Metazoa; Arthropoda; Insecta; Hymenoptera; Formicidae. The transcript has 2 exons.
UAAAUCCGUGUGCUGAAUCGAAGCGUGUCGCCGCUUCGGUUGCAUACAUGUAUGUAGAGGUGACACAGCGAGCGGCGUGUAACAUAAAAUCAUGUGCCCAAGGAUAAUUAUCUUUCGUUUUCUCGACGUCGUGAUAGAAAAGUGACAGCGCGCGAUAGAAGAUUAUUUUAUAAGACAGCUCACAUUAAAACCGUAAUAUGUUCCUGUGAUUGAAAAAAAAAAACAGAAAGAAAGAAAGCGAUAGAAACUGGAAGGGUUUGCAGAGAAUUUAACUCUAGUGUAAUUUUUUCUCUAGCGUAAUUUUUUCUCUAUCGUAUACUUUGUAUCGAAUCCGCAAGAAAUGAAAUCGUUUUCCAUCGUGCUCUGUUAGACUUAAAACCAAAAAUGUUUUUGUAAAAUGCACGAAAAUGGAGUUCAAAAAAAAUGGAUGCCGAAAGCGACAUGCCUAUUGGAAGUUAUAUAACAUCCCAGACAGCACAAGAACUUCUGAGAACGAUCCAGGGAUAUUCUGAGGAUAUUGGGACGUUCUCAGAACGUAUUUAGGACGUUCCCUGGAUAUCUGUACUGUUAGAGAUGUUGCAUAUAUGAUAAUAUUUGAUAAUAAAUAGUUCGUUAAUAUGUUUAA